Molecule: RNA transcript, 1154 nt
Organism: Cucurbita moschata (crookneck pumpkin)
Lineage: Eukaryota; Viridiplantae; Streptophyta; Magnoliopsida; Cucurbitales; Cucurbitaceae
Gene name: protein ENHANCED DISEASE RESISTANCE 2-like
Exons: 3
Source: RefSeq, a predicted model, not a curated record
CCGAUUCUCAGUCUCGGAGAUAAAAGGAGAAGAGAGAGAGAGAGGGAAAAGAGUACUGGAAGGUAGGUGCGAUGGUGGAUUGGAUUUCCGAGACGAUCAACGGCGGAUCCCUACGCCUUGUCGACCUUCAGACGGGGAUAAAUGGUUGGGCCUCGCCGCCGGGCGACCUCUUUGUUCUCCGUUCCAAGAACUACUUGGAAAAACGGCAAAAAUCUCCGUCUGGCGAUUACCUGCUUUCUCCCGCCGGUGUUGAUUGGCUGAAAUCUAGUACCAAGCUUGACAACGUCCUUGCUCGCCCUGACAAUCGCGUCGCGCAAGCGUUGAGGAGAGCGCAAGGCGUAGGUAAGUCGAUGAAGAGCUUCAUUAUUGCGGUUAAUAUUCAAGUACCUGGGAAGGAUCAGUACAGUGCCGUGUUCUACUUUGCUACUGAAGAUCCGAUUCCAUCUGGCUCGCUUCUUCACCGAUUCAUUAAUGGCGAUGAUUUAUUCAGAAAUCAACGGUUGAAAUUGGUGAAUCGGAUCGUGAAAGGGCCAUGGAUUGUUAAGAAAGCAGUAGGAAAUUACAGUGCGUGUUUGUUAGGGAAGGCAUUGACGUGCAAUUACCACAGAGGACCUAAUUAUUUGGAGAUUGAUGUAGAUAUGGGGAGCUCAGCGUUAGCCAGUGCGAUUUUGCAUCUCGCGCUUGGAUACGUUACCAACGUAACAGUAGAUAUGGGGUUUCUGGUGGAGGGGCAGACGGAGGAGGAGUUGCCGGAAAGGCUGUUCGGCGCCGUCCGGAUUUGCCAGAUGGAGAUGUCGUCGGCGACUAUCGUAGACGCGCCGACAUUGGCGCGUGGAUUAUCAUGUGCCAAGGUGAAUCACCACAAACCUGGCGACGACGACAACUGAUUCGAUUCGAUUAGCGGAAAUGCAUGCAUCAUAUGAACUGUAGACUGUUUUUCAAAGAAUUUUAGAGUAUUGAGAUUGUUGGUUUGCAGUGUGACUGUCACAGGAGGACAAGAAGUUAUGGGAAGAUUCUCUACUGUGAAGCCGACUUCUAAAUUACAGACAGCAUUGAAUGCUGUAUAUACAUAUAUACAUACAUAUCUAUAUAUAUAUACAUAUAUACAUACAUUAUGUCUUAUUUCCUUAACCAUAGACAAAAUGAUUUAAUCU